UCUUGGCUGAAAGAUGGCGUAAGCUAUCGCUUUUGGAUGGACCCGCGGCGUAUUAGCUAGUUGGUGAGGUAACGGCUCACCAAGGCAAUGAUACGUAGCCGAACUGAGAGGUUGAUCGGCCACAUUGGGACUGAGACACGGCCCAAACUCCUACGGGAGGCAGCAGUAGGGAAUCUUCCACAAUGGACGCAAGUCUGAUGGAGCAACGCCGCGUGAGUGAAGAAGGCUUUCGGGUCGUAAAACUCUGUUGUUGGAGAAGAAUGGUCGGCAGAGUAACUGUUGUCGGCGUGACGGUAUCCAACCAGAAAGCCACGGCUAACUACGUGCCAGCAGCCGCGGUAAUACGUAGGUGGCAAGCGUUAUCCGGAUUUAUUGGGCGUAAAGCGAGCG
This 390-nucleotide ribosomal RNA is filed under the name Lacticaseibacillus rhamnosus. RNAcentral's name for it is "bacterial SSU rRNA". It matches the Rfam family "Bacterial small subunit ribosomal RNA", at positions 194 to 571 of the family's 1533-position model. Lineage: Bacteria; Bacillati; Bacillota; Bacilli; Lactobacillales; Lactobacillaceae. The record is from RNAcentral.